Salvia miltiorrhiza (redroot sage) is the source of this 365-nucleotide long non-coding RNA. RefSeq lists it as uncharacterized. The record is from RefSeq and is a predicted model, not a curated record. NCBI's taxonomy places the organism in Eukaryota, Viridiplantae, Streptophyta, Magnoliopsida, Lamiales, Lamiaceae. The transcript is spliced from 2 exons.
AUUUUAGAAUAAUAAUUCUUGAAUAAGAAAGUCAUGCAUAGUUAAAUUACGCAUUCUCAUUGAAUUGAGAAAUUUUCUCGAGCAAUGUUUUAUUUUAUAUUCUUAUUAUUAAGGUCAAGCGCGAGAGUAAGAGCUACUCAAGGAGUCACAGUACCUUAGCAAAGCUUUGCUAUCAGGUUGAGCUGUGAUGGACGAUGAAGUGUUGCUGAGUGGAGCUUUUGUCGAACUUAGAAUAGGCUAAAAAAGGAUAUAUGUCUGCAUACAUGUAUCUCAGUUAUGUCUUCCGCUGCAAACGCUGAUUAUGGAAAGUUAUAACUAAGACAAAUGCCCUUUAUGCAGUAAUUCACGUUUUUUUUUCUCGAGUU